This is a long non-coding RNA of Acinonyx jubatus (cheetah), 5725 nucleotides long. RefSeq lists it as uncharacterized. Lineage: Eukaryota; Metazoa; Chordata; Mammalia; Carnivora; Felidae. The transcript is spliced from 4 exons. The record is from RefSeq and is a predicted model, not a curated record.
AAGGCAACAAUCUAAAAAGAUGUAUUUUUUCAUAUUCACUGACAGCUUUCAAGCCCCACCUCUUCUCUUCCCUGUGGCCUACAAUGUGGGAAAACUGAUAAGAUGGCUCCUUUGGUGCUAGCAGAAAGUUCAAACCAUUCGAGACCCAGCCCACUUAAGGGAAACUUCACUCUGGUCCUAGCCAUCAAUCACCAUAAAACCCUAAGACAGUCUCCUUUCUCUUCUCCCUUAGGUUAUAUUUGUACCAGCCUAGGAGCCUGCCCAGCUCUCCACAGAAAGCUUCUGUGUUUUCAGUUACCCAUGGUCAACCGCGAGCCAGAAGCAGAUGAUCCUCUUUCUGACAUACUCUCGGAAGGUCUGACAGGCAACUUUGGACCACAUCCAGUCUUGUUGAGGUGCCCGUGUUGUCCUGCAAGAUAUCAAUUCAAACAAGUCUUCCCUGACUCCCAAGACAGGUUCUGAUCCCACAUCACAUGCUCCCAAAGCCUGUUCAUGACAAGUAAGUACAUUUGUGGGAUUAUAAGACUAGUGUUGUUUUUUUUUUCACUUUUAGAUUAUAAACUCUUUCAGGACGUAGGCCCUGUCUGGUUUUUGUUUACUAUUGUAUCUAUAGAACCUAACUGCAUGCCUGGUACAUAGUAAACUAGUAAUAAAUAUUUUGAAAAAUAAAUAAAUUAACUUAGUCUGGAGCAUAAGUCCAUAAGCUUAAGCUUACGACUUUUUUUUUUGUCACUAACCAAAACAUAAUAGCUUGAUCUAGACGAUGUUGACUUCAUAGGGGUCUGUGAUUCUCAUGGUCACUCUAGUGUUGUGACAACAGGGUUUAAUGUUAAUGUUGAAGACAAUGGUAUUAAUAUGGUAUAGUCAGAAGCCUUGUUGAAGACUUUGGAAUCCUAGUUUGAAUCAUGAGAGGUUUAGCAAAUUUGUUCUCCAAAGUGAAAGUGGAUCCCUUAUUACUCUUUAUUCAAAAAAAGGAAGGGGUGGAGCUUUGGAAUCAUUUAUAGAAAUACAUGAUACAUAACAAUAAAAAUGUAUUAACAUAAAUGAGGAAAAGGGGCAAAGAGUAAGUUAAAAAGUAGAAAAAUACUGGGGUGCCUGGGUGACUUAAUUGAGCAUCCUACUUCGGCUCAGGUCCUGAUCUUAUGGUCCAUGAGUUUGAGCCCUACAUUGGGCUCUCUGCUGUCAGCACAGAGCCCACUUUGGAUCUUCUGUCCCUCUCUCUCUGUGUCCCUCCCCCACUUGCUCUCUCUCUCUCAAAAAUAAGUAAGACAUUUUUAAAAAGCAGAAAAAUAGGGGUGUCUGGGUGUUUAAGUGUCCAAUUUCGGCUCAGGUCAUGAUCUCACAGUUUGUGAGUUCAAGUCCCACAUCAGGCUCUGUGCUGACAGCCCAGAGGCUGGAACCUGCCUCAGAUUCUGUGUCUCCCUCUCUUCUCUUCCCCAUUCCUACUCUCUCUCUCUCUCUCUCUCUCUCAAAAAUAAACAUGAAAAAAUUUAAUUAAUGUAAUAUAAUGUAUAAUAUAGUAUAAUGUAUAACAUCCAGGCACUGAAAUUCAUCCUUGUACUUCUGUAUAGGCAGUAGGAAGCACACAAAUUUGGCUUAGAGUUGCAUAGUAGUGAAGGGAAAGCAGAGCUACUGCAAGAUUUAUAGUGUGAAUAGCAAAAGAUAAAAGAGGACCAGAUGCUCAGGAAGAAACACAGCUUUUCCUAUAUUAUUGUGAUAUCUAGAUAAUGUUCUCAAUAACAAUCCUACCAUAUAUACAAUGAUAGAUGUAAUGUGGUUGUUUCUUAAAACACCUCUCAGUGUACACUCAAGGCACAAUGACAAAAUAUAGGACAGAAAAGGGCAUGUCCUGAGGGAGAUGGAUGUUGAGACAAUGCGGCCCCAGAAAUCUCUCCAAGGAUCUAUCUCCAAACCUGACAGAAUUUAAAUGUCUGGAGAAGGAGCCCAUUCCCAUUGGGCCAUUCUCCCUGGAUGUGAUUUUUAUAGCAAAACUUUUGCUAAUAAUUCAACACCAGAUAACUCAAGGUUAUAUUUUCUGAGAAGAAUCUAGGGGCGCUUGGGUGGCUCAGUCAGUUGUAGAUCAGUCAGUUAAGUGUCCGACUCUUGAUUUUGGCUUAGGUCAUGAUCUCAUGGUUCACGAGUUCGAGCCCCAUGUCGGGCUCUGCACUGACACCACAGCACCUGUUUGGGAUUCUCUCUCUCCCUCUCUUUCUGCUUGCACUUUCUCUCUCUCUUUCUCCCUCUCUAUCUCUCUCUCAAAUUAAAUAAAUAAACACUUAAAAAUAAUCUAAAAUAUAGAAGUUGUAUGGUAUAAUUAAGCAUAAUCAACAUAGAAUUAAUACCCUUUAUGAAAGGAAAACAUCUAACCAGUAUGCCAAAAUAUAAAGCCACCAAACUUUUGCAUGGAGGUAGAACUAGAAAAUGCAGGGCAAAGAUUUUCCUCAGAUUAUAUUUUUGGGUCUAUUUCAGCAUACACACCUAACAGGCAUACAGGACUAAUUCACAGCAGGAAUAAUUUUUUUAAGAGAGCUUUAAUUCCAAGAGUAUAAGCACUCAUGAAAUAUCCAAAAGACACAGAAAGUCUUCCUACCCUCAUCUUCUCUAUUCUAACUGCCUGUGGGUAACCAUGGAUGGUUUCUUGUGUCUCCUUCCAGACCUUUGUCUAUGUGCAAUCCUGAGAAAAUCCAUGGGGGAGAUAGAGGGGAUCCUGAUGCCCCUAACACUGUUAUAUAAUGAUUCUGUGUGUGUGUGUGUGUGUGUGUGUGUGUGUGUGUGUGUGUCUUUCUUUCUGUCUCUCUCUCUGUAUCUCUCUCUGUGUCUCUCUGUCCCUUUCUCUCUCUCUUCAUGGAAAGGAGGUAAGAUGAACAGGCUGUAACUGUUGUCUAUUAUUCUUAAGGUACACCAAGAUCUGUGGUCCUUCCAAGAAGAUAGGACUCAUCUUUGCAAUAAAGGAAAAUUUAUGAAGCAUCCAUAAAAACCCUGCUUUAAGCUUCUUAGUAUAAAAAGCAAUGCUUGUUUUUUGUGUUUCUACAAAAGACUGAGGAGAAACCUGUCAGUCCCUCAGGGUCUCAAGUAAGAGGCCAAGACUGGCCAUCACCAUGGAUUCAUAACUUUUGAAAGUAAUAGAAAUCAUCCGAACAUCUUCCUGUUUUGGAACAUUUGUUUGCUUAGUUUGGCAGGGGUUUGGCGGAGGGAAAGGACAUCCCUCCUGUUGUUGAUGCUCAUUGGCUAGCUAAAAGAACUCACUCUGGGGCCCAGUCCCAUAUAGAUCAUUGAGCAAGCUCACCUUCAGGUGAACAGGCAAGGGUAGUGUGGUUAGUAUCAAAGCUUUGACUGGUUGAAUUACAAAAUAUCACACAUGCACACAUACACAGACACAUACACAUGCACACUCCUCAUUUGCAAUAAAACAAAACAAAACUAACCUCUUUUACAACUCUCUCUCUUAGUAUCCUUUCGUUUGUGUCUCAUUGUGAUUAAAAAAAAUUUUUUUUUUAUUUUAGAGAGAGCGUGCAUGAGUGGGGAGAGGGGCAGAGGGAGAGAGAGAGAAUCUCAUGCAGGCUUCAUGCUCAGAGCAGAGCCCAAAUGGGUGGGGGGAGGGGUUGGUCCCACAACCCUCGGAUCAUGACCAGAGCUGAAAUCAAGAGUCUGACGUUCAACAGACUGAGCCAUCCAGGCGCCCCUAGUUAAAAAUUUUUUAAAACCUCACAUUAACUAUCCAUAACACUAACUUCCUUACUUCCUUCAAGUCCUUGGUAAACUAUCACUUUUACAAAUUUUAAAUACCUUUAUUGAGGUGUAAGUGGUAUACAGUAAACUGUACAUGUUUGAAAUGUACAAUUUGAUGUUUUAAUGUAUGUAGAUACCUGUGAAGCAAUCACCACAGUCAAAAUAGGCAAUGUAUUCAUCACUUAUACAAGUUUUCAUGUCCCUAUGGAUCCUCUCCCUAGCUACUCCCUAACCAGGUAACCACUAAUCUAUUUUCUAUCGCCAUAGAUUAGUUUGCAUUGUCUAGAGUUUUAAUAACACAGUAUGUAUGUACACUUUUUAUUUUAUUUUAGUCAGAAUUCUUUUACUUACCAUAAUUAUUUUGAGAUUCAUUCACGUUGUUGUAUGUAUCAAUAGUUCAUUGUGUUCUAUUCUGAGUAGUACACCAUUGUAUGGCUAUAUCACAAUUUGUUUGCACAUUUAUCCAUUAACAUUUGGGUUGUUCCAACUUUUUGACUAUUACAAAUAAAUCUGUUAUGAACACUCAGGUACAAGUAUUUGUAUACACUUAUGUUGACUUUCCUCUUGGGUAAAUACCUAGGAGUUUGGCUUGAUCAUGUGAUAAGUGUAUAUUUAACUUCUUAAAAGACUUCCAAACCAGUUGAUAUUGUCUUAUAUUCCCAUAAACAGAGUAUGAAGUUUCAGUUUUUCCACAUCAUUGUCAAUAUUUCAUAUUAUCUUUUUUUUAAGAAAUAAUAGGUUUUUUUAAAAAAAGUUUUUAGUAUUUAUUUUUGAGAGAGAGAGAGAGAAACAGGGCACAAGCAGGGGAGGAGCAGAGAGAGAGGGAGACACAGAAUCCAAAACAGGCUCCAGGCUCUGAGCUGUCAGCACAGAGCCUGAUGUGGGGCUCGAACCCAUGGACCAUAAGAUCAUGACCUGAUACGAAGUCAGAUGCCCAACCAACUGAGCCACCCAGGCACCCUGAUACUUCAUAUCUAUUUUUUCAUUAUAAUGGCUGCAUAGUGGUAGGUAUGGUUUUAAUUUGCAUUUCCCUAAUGACUAAUAAUAUUGAGCAUCUUUUUAUGUGCUUUUUUGCCAUCCAUAUAUUUUCUUUGGUGAAGAUAUUCAAAUCUUUUGCUCAUUUUUUAUUGGAUUAUUUGUCUCUUUAUUCAGUUUCUCCUAGUCAGUGGCUUGCAUUUUUAUUUCCUAAACAAUAUCUUUUGAAGAUAAAAAUGUUUAAUUUUGAUGAAGUCUAAUUUAUUGCUUUUAUUUUAUGGAUUAUUCUUUUGGUAUUAUAUCUUAGAAAUGUCUACCUAACUUAAGAUCACAAACAUUUUACACUGUUUUUUCAGAAGCAUAAUUUUUUUAGAUUUUACAUCUAGGUUAUGGUCCAUUUUGAGUUCAUUUCUGCAUAUAGCAUGAGGUAUAGAUUGUUUUUAAUGUUUAUUUAUUUUGGAGAGAGAGAAAGAGACAGAGUGUGAGCAGGGAGGGGCAGAAAGAGAGGGAGACACAGAAUCCGAAGCAGGCUCCAGACUCUGAGCAGUCAGCACAGAGCCCUAUGCGAGGCUUGAACUCACAAACCGUGAGAUCAUGACUUAAGCUAAAGUCGGACGUGUAACCAACUGAGCCAUCCAGGCUCCCCCCGCCUUUUUUUAAAUGUUUAUUUAUUUUGGAGAGAGAUAGAGAGAGACAGAGUACGAGCAGGGGAGGGCAGAGAGAGAGGGAGGUAUGAAGUAUAGAUUUAAGUUCAUUGGUUUGUAUCUGGAUAUACAGUUAUUCCAACACCAUUUAUUGAAAAGACUCUCGUUUUUCACUGAAUUUACUUUGUACGUUUGUUGAAAAUCAGUUGUCCAUAAUAUAUGGUGUUUUUCCCAAAGUAUCUAUUGUAUUAAUUUAUUUGUCUGUCUUUACACCAAUAUCACAUAGUCUUGAAUAGUGUAACUUUAUAAGAAGUCUUGAAUUUGGGUAAUAUUUACUCUCCAACUUUGUUCUUUUUUUCUUUUUUCAAAAUUGUUUG